AACCCCUAUUGUUAGUUGCCAUCAUUCAGUUGGGCACUCUAGCGAGACUGCCGGUAAUAACCGGAGGAAGUGGGGAUGACGUCAAAUCAUCAUGCCCCUUAUGACCUGGGCUACACACGUGCUACAAUGGUUGGUACAACGAGUUGCGAGUCGGUGACGGCGAGCUAAUCUCUUAAAGCCAAUCUCAGUUCGGAUUGUAGGCUGCAACUCGCCUACAUGAAGUCGGAAUCGCUAGUAAUCGCGGAUCAGCACGCCGCGGUGAAUACGUUCCCGGGCCUU
Molecule: ribosomal RNA, 279 nt
Filed under: uncultured Streptococcus sp.
Lineage: Bacteria; Bacillati; Bacillota; Bacilli; Lactobacillales; Streptococcaceae
Description: partial 16S ribosomal RNA
Rfam family: Bacterial small subunit ribosomal RNA
Source: RNAcentral